ACGGCGAGUGAAGCGGCAAAAGCUCAAAUUUGAAACCCUCGGGAUUGUAAUUUGAAGAUUUGGCAUUGGAGAAAGCUAACCCAAGUUGCUUGGAAUAGUACGUCAUAGAGGGUGACAACCCCGUCUGGCUAACCGUUCUCCAUGUAUUGCCUUAUCAAAGAGUCGAGUUGUUUGGGAAUGCAGCUCAAAGUGGGUGGUAAACUCCAUCUAAAGCUAAAUACUGGUGAGAGACCGAUAGCGAACAAGUACUGUGAAGGAAAGGUGAAAAGAACUUUGAAAAGAGAGUGAACUAGUAUGUGAAAUUGUUGAUAGGGAAGGAAAUGAGUGGAGAGUGGCCGAGGUUUCAGCCGCCCCUCGUGGGCGGUGUACUGCCGACGCCGAGUCAUCGAUAGCGAGACGAGGGUUACAAAUGGGAGCGCCUUCGGGCGUUCUCCCCUAACCCUCCACAC
This 449-nucleotide ribosomal RNA is filed under the name Yarrowia lipolytica. RNAcentral describes it as "eukaryotic LSU rRNA". It matches the Rfam family "Eukaryotic large subunit ribosomal RNA", at positions 86 to 515 of the family's 3401-position model. Lineage: Eukaryota; Fungi; Ascomycota; Dipodascomycetes; Dipodascales. The record is from RNAcentral.